Molecule: long non-coding RNA, 378 nt
Filed under: Vigna radiata
Lineage: Eukaryota; Viridiplantae; Streptophyta; Magnoliopsida; Fabales; Fabaceae
Description: long non-coding RNA (VRAD_LNC011543)
Source: RNAcentral
GGGAGAUUGAAAAUUCAUUCGCUUUAUUUUAGCACACGAGACUCUCUUCUCUUCUCAAACUUUUUUCGAACGAAGUUUGACGACCAUCACAGGUAAUUUUUCUUUCAUUUGAUACAAAUGCAUGUUAAUUAACUACUUUAUCUAUGAUUUUUGUUUGUUUUGACCAAUUAUUUUCGUGUUCUUGCCCUUCAUAGACACAUUUUGUUUUCUCUCUCACGGGUGAUGACACUUUAUUAGGAUGAACCCAUAUUUUGAAAGUUAGUUUUCGUUUUGAAGAACUUGUUUUUUUUAACUUGUUUAUGGUUGUUGUUUGGUUGAACUUGUUUGUCGUUGUUGUUUGGUUGAACUUGUUUAUUGUUGUUUGGUUGAACUUAUUUG